Molecule: ribosomal RNA, 502 nt
Filed under: uncultured bacterium
Lineage: Bacteria
Description: partial 16S ribosomal RNA
Rfam family: Bacterial small subunit ribosomal RNA
Source: RNAcentral
GACGAACGCUGGCGGCGUGCCUAAUACAUGCAAGUCGAACGAACCGCGACUGAGUGCUUGCACUUGGUCAAGGUGAGUGGCGAACGGGUGAGUAACACGUGGGUAACCUACCUCAUAGUGGGGGAUAACAGUCGGAAACGACUGCUAAUACCGCAUAGGACAUAGGAUCACAUGAUCCAGUGAGGAAAGGUGGCGCAAGCUAUCGCUAAGAGAUGGACCCGCGGUGCAUUAGCUAGUUGGUAGGGUAAAGGCCUACCAAGGCGAUGAUGCAUAGCCGACCUGAGAGAGUGAUCGGCCACAUUGGGACUGAGACACGGCCCAAACUCCUACGGGAGGCAGCAGUAGGGAAUCUUCCGCAAUGGACGCAAGUCUGACGGAGCAACGCCGCGUGAGUGAAGAAGGUCUUCGGAUCGUAAAGCUCUGUUGUUAGAGAAGAACAGCGCAUAGAGUAACUGCUAUGCGUGUGACGGUAUCUAACCAGAAAGCCACGGCUAACUACGUG